Molecule: ribosomal RNA, 446 nt
Filed under: uncultured bacterium
Lineage: Bacteria
Description: SSU rRNA
Rfam family: Bacterial small subunit ribosomal RNA
Source: RNAcentral
AGAGCGAACGCUGGCGGCAGGCCUAACACAUGCAAGUCGAGCGCCCGUAGCAAUACGGGAGCGGCAGACGGGAUAGUAACACGUGGGAACGCGCCCUUCGGUUCGGAAUAACUCAGGGAAACUUGAGCUAAUACCGGAUACGCCCUUACGGGGAAAGAUUUAUUGCCGAAGGAACUGCCCGCGUCCGAUUAGCUAGUUGGUGAGGUAAUGGCUCACCAAGGCGACGAUCGGUAGCUGGUCUGAGAGGAUGACCAGCAUCACUGGGACUGAGACACGGCCCAGACUCCUACGGGAGGCAGCAGUGGGGAAUAUUGGACAAUGGGCGCAAGCCUGAUCCAGCCAUGCCGCGUGGAUGAUGAAGGCCUUAGGGUUGUAAGUCCUUUUAACGGGGAAGAUAAUGACGGUACCCGUAGAAUAAGCCCGGCUAACUUCGUGCCAGCAGCCGC